Molecule: long non-coding RNA, 1152 nt
Organism: Armigeres subalbatus
Lineage: Eukaryota; Metazoa; Arthropoda; Insecta; Diptera; Culicidae
Exons: 2
Source: RefSeq, a predicted model, not a curated record
CGACAAUCAAUAAUUAACGUAUUACUUGGAGACUAAAAAAUGGAUUCUAUGGGGUGAUAAAAUUUGACUGAAAUACUAGAUAUACAGAUAUACUUCUGGUCGCUCAAAAAUCUUUUGAGCAUUUAAAUCUUUUCCGCUUAUUUAAAUACUGGUAUCUUUUGAACAGUCUAGGAUCAUUUCCGGUUAUUUAAUUGGUUAUUUGCUAUUAUUCUCGGACCAAUACCAUGCCAUUAAUUGUUUGCCGUCAGAUCAUAAAUAAAAUAGAAACGCAUUGCGUUUUCAUAUCAGACACGCGCACAUCAGGAGGAUCGUCUCAUACACUAUUCAGAUUAACGAGCAUUUACAAGGUAUUCGUGAGAUCAUAUGAAAUAAAAAUAAGAUGCGUGUAGAUUGGCAUCAGAAUACUUUUUAUCAUGUCAUUAAGCGCAUAAUCUGAAUAGGAUAUUACAUAUAAUGAUAAAAUGUUAAAAUCUCAGGUUAAAACCAUUGUGUGCAGUGGGAUCAGAAACUUUGGAUACAUUAAUGCUUUUUUUUGUGUAUCUAGUGUCUAUAGUUAUAACGUCGCAGGUUGUUACAACCAUUGUGGAUUUCGAAAAAGCGAUUUACAAUCCCUGCAAAAUCAAACGCAGACCACCGGUUCAAUAGAAGCCACUACACUCAAAAUAAUCCACACUUCAAUGCCACCUGGAAAAUCACGUAGAUCAGACAGAAUGAACUUUCUCCUGACUUCAUCUGUCGAAGGUAACAAUCAUUGGACCUUAGAUAGAAAACAAAUUGAAGACCAGUGAUUGUUAUUGUGGGGCCCUAUGUAUGUCACGUGGAAAUCACGUAGAUGUUCUCAGUAUUCAUUCACUAUUUUAGUUCACUAGGUGCUGUUGUUCGCUGCCAUUUCUGAUUGACUUCUAAUAAAGAAGUCGAAAAUUAACUUAGAAAAACAAGUGGUUUUCGUACAGCAAACCAACCAUAUCGAUUGUUAGUAGAACAAGCCAUGUCUACUUAACUUCUUAAAUCUGCAGAAAUUGAACAAAGAAAUCCAAAGUUACUACCGUUUGAGGCAAAUAGCACACCAUAACACCGAUGAAAUGGCAGUGACGGAGAAGCUACACAUUUGUUUCGUUUUUGAUGUGUAUUAAAUAUAUUUUAUGCUACAAA